UCAGCUUCGAUCGAUGUUCAGCUUCGAUCGAUGUUCAGAAUCGAUUUUCACCUCAUGUCAGAAUGGAUCUUUGUACUGAUCUUCAGCUUCAAUCGACCUUCACCUUUCAGGAUCGAUCGAUCCCAACCAGAUUGAAUCGAUCGAUCGAUUGAUCGAUCUCUCUACUGAACCCAACCAGACCGUCACCUUUCAGAAUCGAUCGACCUUAUACCAGACUCCUCUUGCCCUAACUUGUCAACUCUGUUCUCUCCUCCUCUUGCCCUAACCUGUCAUGAUCGAUCUCAUUUUCAUGGCUCCAAUCCGAAGAUAUAUAUAAGUUUGAGUGAAUCGAUUUGGUUUCUAACAGAGAUCGUAGCAAUUUGUUGUGUUUUCAAUCUCUCUCUCUCUCUCUCUCUCUCUCUCUCUCUCUCUCUUCACAUACACAACAUAUAUACAUGUACAUACCUAUAUAUAUACUCCUUUGUAUUCAUUUGUAUUCAUCUGUAUUCAUUCAAAUUGCUUUUGAAAGUUACUUGUUUAAUACUCAUUUGACAAUAAAAAACAUAAAAAUAAAAAACCGUGCACUUGUUGGCCUCUCAUAUUGUAGUCAAUCGUAGUCUUAUGUAGUUUUUUGAAAUUUUUAUGAAUGUUUUUUAAUUGUUUGACUCUAAAUUCAUUCCACAGUGGUUAUGGCUUGUUGCGAAAUUUUUAUUUUAUUGAGAGUGUCUUCUUCGUCUAUAUAUCUAUAUCUCUCUAUAUAUAUGUAUAACACUAUUUUCUAAAGCUGGAGACGGUUAAUUGAAUGUUUGUUUGAAUGUUUGUUUUGUGACUCGAGAUUUUUAUGCUUUUGGCACCAUUAAAUGAUAUAAAUGUUAAUUUUUUAAUUUUUUUUUUUUUGUUUUUUUUACAAAAUAUCAGUUUUUCAAACAACCAGCUGAAGAAAAACAGUUAUUGUGUCUGCCUAGCAUUGUGGUGGUCUGAAAGUAGUCUGGAUGGCAUUCUAGUGGAAGUUGUAGUGUGAUGGUGAUGGUAUCAAUGGUGAUAGAACUAGAAAUCUUAUUGAAACUACAAUUGGACAAGAUUAACCUAUAGCAGUGCAUCCUGAAUGAAAGUAAGUUUGGAUUCACAUGUUUAAAGCAAGGGCCUAUGAAUCUGCGUUUUAUGUACACACAUAUCUGGGAUUAUAUACUAGUUUGAUCACCACUAUGCUAUGAAAAUUCAACAUUAGCUGGUUUCUUUGCUCUUCAAAUCUUUCUACUUUUGAAGAGAUUCAAAAAUUGGGUUUUAAAAGAAAAGCAUUUCACACCAUUUCUCUCAUCUUUUAAUUAUCCAAACAGGUAAUUAGGGGCAAGAGAUUUCUAUUUAUUUUCUUUUCUUUCCAAAUCACCUAAUCUAAGCGGGUGGCUAAUGAAAAUUUCCAAAAUGUCCGCUAGACAAUCAUUGGGAGGGUUUGGGAUUUAAUCCUCUUCAAACCUUAAGAAGAACAAUUUAUUCGUUUGCUUAGAUACACGUUACAAAGAAUAAGUUGUCAAACACUUUUCAAAUUAACAGUAUAUUCUAAAAUCUUAUUUUGUAUUAGUCCCAUAACUAUUUAUCAUAUUCACCAGAAGGCAAACUCGUGCAGAAUCAUUGGCAACCCAUUUCAAGCAGCUCCUCCAGAGGCUGACUAACUUUGAGUUCUAUGGAUCCUUUUUUUAAAUUUUUUUAUUUUAUUUAAUAUAAUAUAUAAACAAUUUACUUUACUUUCAAGUUUGAAUCAAAUAGUUCAUUAUAUUUCUGGAUUUGUUAUUAAUUCAAUUUUUAACUUUGCCACAGGAUAAUAUGGAGUACAGGUUCACGAGUGUAUAAGAGUUUCACCUUGCCCUCCUCAGUGAUUAUGGCAUGCUGGUGUCAUAUGGGUGAUAUGUCUGAGGCAUCACUUUGUGUUCUACAAAGUGAUAGUUUGACAAUCUAUAAGACAACAGCAGGCAAGUCCCAUCCGAGGGACGUAAACUGAAACCUAUAACACAUUCAUUUGUUGUGCCCUCUCAUACCCUCUCAUAGGGAAUUAGCCACCUGGCUAGUCAAGGAAGGGUUGCUGAUUGAAAUAUUAGGAAAUAUGCUGUGAAAGUUUUACCUAAGAAAGAAUUGGCAAGGAAGUGAACAUGGAUAUCCAAUCAACAGCCUACACGAAGAGAACCUACAAUAUGACAACAAACAGUACACACUGAAAUACUAAAUCUAGGGCUGAGGCAAAAAUAAUGUAUAAUAUAUUUAGGCAAGGUUCCCUGUUCUUAAACAGAGUAAAUAAAAAAGAGUUUCUUAAUUAGGCGAAUGAUCUUUGUAUAUUUAAAAAGUUUAGAAUGUGACAAUGUGAUCUGGUGUAAUUUUCUUAUGCUUAUCAUGUUCUACAGGUCCUAGAAAAAUAUGUGAAGAAUUGGAUAACAAUUGCUACACCAUUCCAGGAUAAGUGAUGACAUACCAGGUGACAAGGAUACUAGCUUUGAGAUUGCAACUUGAUAUGUCAAUAUUUGGAAACUUUGAAUUUGAGAACUUUUUAAAAGCAUUUUGGAAACUUUUUGGAAACUUUGAAUAUACUGAUAGCUAUAUACUCGUUAUGAUUUGGGAA
Non-coding RNA from Camellia sinensis, 2587 nucleotides. The record is from RefSeq and is a predicted model, not a curated record. Lineage: Eukaryota; Viridiplantae; Streptophyta; Magnoliopsida; Ericales; Theaceae.